This 25-nucleotide non-coding RNA is filed under the name Cricetulus griseus (Chinese hamster). Lineage: Eukaryota; Metazoa; Chordata; Mammalia; Rodentia; Cricetidae. The record is from RNAcentral.
GAGAUAUGGGAGGGAGCUGGAGAAA